GCAAGUAAGUCAGAAAGAAGCCCUGUGCUCCAACUCCUGGAAGAUGGGAGCCAGAGGAAAAGAAGCAGCCAAAGGAGCUGCCAGGCUGAAGCUGGGAAAGGACAGCACAGGCAGGAGGCCCCACAGGACAGGCCCUCAUGGGAAACUGCUCCCGCCUGGCCCCCAACAGCCUCGUGGAGCAGUCAAGAAUCAGCCUCGCAGGCAAAGGAGAAGCCCUUUCCAUGAGGAGCACUGCUCUUUCCUCUUCCAACAACUGCUGCGUCCCACCCAGCAGCCCAGCUGCUGUGCAAGCCCACCACUGAGAGACCCUCAGCUCCUCUGAGCCAUAUCACAUCGUCCAUCUUGGUGACCUUGGGUCUUUGACCUCUGUUCGUCUCAGCUGUCUCAUGCAUUCACUCAGGAAGGCGCCACCUUCCUGGCCCUGCUGUCUCUUUGGGAUCCAACCAAGCUUCUUCUUCUCCAAACCCCUGUUC
RNAcentral lists this long non-coding RNA (473 nucleotides) under Homo sapiens (human). RNAcentral's name for it is "HSALNT0263353". Lineage: Eukaryota; Metazoa; Chordata; Mammalia; Primates; Hominidae. The record is from RNAcentral.